ACUCCUACGGGAGGCAGCAGUGGGGAAUCUUGGACAAUGGGCGCAAGCCUGAUCCAGCCAUGCCGCGUGAGUGACGAAGGCCUUAGGGUCGUAAAGCUCUUUCAGCUGUGAAGAUAAUGACGGUAGCAGCAGAAGAAACCCCGCUAGCUACCGUGCCAGCAGCCGCGGUAAUACGGAGGGGGUUAGCGUUGUUCGGAAUUACUGGGCGUAAAGCGCGCGUAGGCGGAUUAGUCAGUCAGAGGUGAAAUCCCAGGGCUCAACCCUGGAACUGCCUUUGAUACUGCUAGUCUUGAGUUCGAGAGAGGUGAGUGGAAUUCCGAGUGUAGAGGUGAAAUUCGUAGAUAUUCGGAUGAACACCAGUGGCGAAGGCGGCUCACUGGCUCGAUACUGACGCUGAGGUGCGAAAGCGUGGGGGAGCAAACAGGAUUAGAUACCCUGGUAGACAUCAC
Molecule: ribosomal RNA, 449 nt
Filed under: uncultured bacterium
Lineage: Bacteria
Description: bacterial SSU rRNA
Rfam family: Bacterial small subunit ribosomal RNA
Source: RNAcentral